This is a long non-coding RNA of Equus caballus (horse), 3076 nucleotides long. Lineage: Eukaryota; Metazoa; Chordata; Mammalia; Perissodactyla; Equidae. The record is from Ensembl.
CGAGUUGUUUCUUUAGCUUCCCAAAGAGCUGGGAAGCAAGAUGCUGUGGGACCCACUUGCCCUGUGGAAAGAAGCCCGCACGUUGUGCCUCUCAGCUCUAGGGCAAUGGAGCACACCCAGAGCAGAAGUCCUACUUCAGCCAGAUCAGGCCUGCAAAGAAACUGCGUUUCACAGGCCUUUGGAAGAGAUGUUCCCUGUAGGCUGUAAGAGCACUGUGCAGAGCGAGUUGUUUCUUAGCUUCCCAAAGAGCUGGAAGCAAGAUGCUGUGGGGCCCAACUCGCCCUUUGGAAAGAAGCCUUCACGUUGUGCCUUUCAGCUCUAGGGCAAUGUAGCACACCCAGAGCAGAAGUCCUACUUCAGCCAGAUCAGGCCUGCAAAGAAACUGCGUUUCACAGGCCUUUGGAAGAGAUGUUCCCGGUAGGCUGUAAGAGCACUGUGCAGAGCUAGUAGUUUCUUAGCUUCCCAAAGAGCUGGAAGCAAGAUGCUGUGGCGCCCAACUCGCCUUUGGAAAGAAGCCUGCACGUUGUGCCUUUCAGCUCUAGGGCAAAUUAGCACACCCAGAGCAGAAGUCCUACUUCAGCCAGAUCAGGCCUGCAAAGAAACUGCGUUUCACAGGGCUUUGGAAGAGAUGUUCCCGGUAGGCUGUAAGAGCACUGUGCAGAGCGAGUUGUUUCUUAGCUUCCCAAAGAGCUGGAAGCAAGAUGCUGUGGGGCCCAACUCGCCCUUUGGAAAGAAGCCUGCACGUUGUGCCUUUCAGCUCUAGGGCAAUGUAGCACACCCAGAGCAGAAGUCCUACUUCAGCCAGAUCAGGCCUGCAAAGAAACUGCGUUUCACAGGCCUUUGGAAGAGAUGUUCCCGGUAGGCUGUAAGAGCACUGAGCAGAGCGAGUUGUUUCUUAGCUUCCCAAAGAGCUGGAAGCAAGAUGCUGUGGGGCCCAACACGCCCUUUGGAAAGAAGCCUGCACGGUGUUCCUUUCAGCUCUAGGGCAAUGUAGCACUCCCAGAGCAGAAGUCCUACUUCAGCCAGAUCAGGCCUGCAAAGAAACUGCGUUUCACAGGCCUUUGAUAGAGAUGUUCCCGGUAGGCUGUAAGAGCACUGUGCAGAGCGAGUUGUUUCUUAGCUUCCCAAAGAGCUGGAAGCAAGAUGCUGUGGGGCCCAACUCGCCCUUUGGAAAGAAGCCUGCACGGUGUGCCUUUCAGCUCUAGGGCAAAGUAGCACACCCAGAGCAGAAGUCCUACUUUAGCCAGAUGAGGCCUGCAAAGAGACUGCGUUUCACAGGCAUUUGGAAGUGAUGUUCCCGGUAGGCUGUAAGAGCACUGUGCAGAGCGAGUUGUUUCUUAGCUUCCCAAAGAGCUGGAAGCAAGAUGCUGUGGGGCCCAACUCGCCCUUUGGAAAGAAGCCUGCACGUUGUGCCUUUCAGCUCUAGGGCAAAGUAGCACACCCAGAGCAGAAGUCCUACUUCAGCCAGAUCAGGCCUGCAAAGAAACUGCGUUUCACAGGCCUUUGGAAGAGAUGUUCCCGGUAGGCUGUAAGAGCACUGUGCAGAGCGAGUUGUUUCUUAGCUUCCCAAAGAGCUGGAAGCAAGAUGCUGUGGGGCCCAACUCGCCCUUUGGAAAGAAGCCUGCACGUUGUGCCUUUCAGCUCUAGGGCAAUGUAGCACACCCAGAGCAGAAGUCCUACUUCAGCCAGAUCAGGCCUGCAAAGAAACUGCGUUUCACAGGCCUUUGGAAGAGAUGUUCCCGGUAGGCUGUAAGAGCACUGUGCAGAGCGAGUUGUUUCUUAGCUUCCCAAAGAGCUGGAAGCAAGAUGCUGUGGGGCCCAACUCGCCCUUUGGAAAGAAGCCUGCACGGUGUGCCUUUCAGCUCUAGGGCAAAGUAGCACACCCAGAGCAGAAGUCCUACUUCAGCCAGAUCAGGCCUGCAAAGAAACUGCGUUUCACAGGCCUUUGGAAGAGAUGUUCCCGGUAGGCUGUAAGAGCACUGUGCAGAGCGAGUUGUUUCUUAGCUUCCCAAAGAGCUGGAAGCAAGAUGCUGUGGGGCCCAACUCGCCCUUUGGAAAGAAGCCUGCACGGUGUUCCUUUCAGCUCUAGGGCAGUGUAGCACUCCCAGAGCAGAAGUCCUACUUCAGCCAGAUCAGGCCUGCAAAGAAACUGCGUUUCACAGGCCUUUGGGAGAGAUGUUCCCGGUAGGCUGUAAGAGCACUGUGCAGAGCGAGUUGUUUCUUAGCUUCCCAAAGAGCUGGAAGCAAGAUGCUGUGGGGCCCAACUCGCCCUUUUUAAAGAAGCCUGCACGGUGUUCCUUUCAGCUCUAGGGCCGUGUAGCACUCCCAGAGCAGAAGUCCUACUUCAGCCAGAUCAGGCCUGCAAAGAAACUGCGUUUCACAGGCCUUUGGAAGAGAUGUUCCCGGUAGGCUGUAAGAGCACUGUGCAGAGCGAGUUGUUUCUUAGCUUCCCAAAGAGCUGGAAGCAAGAUGCUGUGGGGCCCAACUCGCCCUUUGGAAAGAAGCCUGCACGUUGUGCCUUUCAGCUCUAGGGCAAAGUAGCACACCCAGAGCAGAAGUCCUACUUCAGCCAGAUCAGGCCUGCAAAGAAACUGCGUUUCACAGGCCUUUGGAAGAGAAGUUCCCGGUAGGCUGUAAGAGCACUGAGCAGAGCGAGUUGUUUCUUAGCUUCCCAAAGAGCUGGAAGCAAGAUGCUGUGGGGCCCAACUCGCCCUUUGGAAAGAAGCCUGCACGUUGUGCCUUUCAGCUCUAGGGCAAAGUAGCACACCCAGAGCAGAAGUCCUACUUCAGCCUGAUCAGGCCUGCAAAGAAACUGCGGAGACCCCCAAGGCCCAAGGCCCCCACCCCCACCACCACAGAUCACUGUGGAAGCCUUAACGACCCAAGGCUCCAGCUACAUACACACGCUCUUAGGAGGCAAGAUACACCAAGGGCUUAUGUGGGUUGCCACUUUUGGUGGUUGUUUCCGUGGCGUGUGAGUUUUGGAACCCGCCACGCCAUUUUUCACAGAGGCCAUACCGUUUCCCUUCACCACCAGUGAGGCGUGAGUGACUGACUUGGCUUCUCCGCGACCUCA